Molecule: long non-coding RNA, 2863 nt
Filed under: Xyrichtys novacula (pearly razorfish)
Lineage: Eukaryota; Metazoa; Chordata; Actinopteri; Labriformes; Labridae
Source: RNAcentral
UGCAGUUCAAACCGAGCAUCAGUAAGGGGAAGAAAGGUGAUUUGAGUGACUUUGAACGUGGCAUGGUUGUUGGUGCCAGAAGGGCUGGUCUGAGUAUUUCAGAAACUGCUGAUCUACUGGGAUUUUCACGCACAACCAUCUCUAGGGUUUACAGAGAAUGGUCCGAAAAAGAAAAAAUAUCCAGUGAGCAGCAGUUCUGUGGGCGGAAAUGCCUUGUUGAUGCCAGAGGUCAGAGGAGAAUGGCCAGACUGGUUCGAGCUGAUAGAAAGGCAACAGUGACUCAAAUAACCACCCGUUACAACCAAAGUAGGCAGAAGAGCAUCUCUGAACGCACAGUACGUCAAACUUUGAGGCAGAUGGGCUACAGCAGCAGAAGACCACGCCUGGUGCCACUCCUUUCAGCUAAGAACAGGAAACUGAGGCUACAAUUUGCACAAGCUCAUCGAAAUUGGACAAUAGAAGAUUGGAAAAACGUUGCCUGGUCUGAUGAGUCUCGAUUUCUGCUGCGACAUUCGGAUGGUAGGGUCAGAAUUUGGCGUCAACAACAUGAAAGCAUGGAUCCAUCCUGCCUUGUAUCAACGGUUCAGGCUGGUGGUGGUGGUGUCAUGGUGUGGGGAAUAUUUUCUUGGCACUCUUUGGGCCCCUUGGUACCAAUUGAGCAUCGUUGCAACGCCACAGCCUACCUGAGUAUUGUUGCUGACCAUGUCCAUCCCUUUAUGACCACAAUGUACCCAACUUCUGAUGGCUACUUUCAGCAGGAUAAUGCGCCAUGUCAUAAAGCUGGAAUCAUCUCAGACUGGUUUCUUGAACAUGACAAUGAGUUCACUGUACUCAAAUGGCCUCCACAGUCACCAGAUCUCAAUCCAAUAGAGCAUCUUUGGGAUGUGGUGGAACGGGAGAUUCGCAUCAUGGAUGUGCAGCCGACAAAUCUGCGGCAACUGUGUGAUGCCAUCAUGUCAAUAUGGACCAAGCUCUCUGAGGAAUGCUUCCAGCACCUUGUUGAAUCUAUGCCACGAAGAAUUGAGGCAGUUCUGAAGGCAAAAGGGGGUCCAACCCGUUACUAGCAUGGUGUACCUAAUAAAGUGGCCGGUGAGUGUAUAUCGCUCACUGUUGUUCGAAAUCUGCUCCUGCUGGUCAUUUUAAAGAAUGCAGACUUCAGCUCACGGACUCUAAUUCAAAAAUAUAAACCCAGUUUGUUUGUUCUGGAGAACCACAGUCCAGAUACCAGUUAGACACGACAAAAGCUGCGAUUUGUAUGUUUGAGGAUGAUCCGAUCAUCGGAGGAGAAAAUAGUCGAACAGAAACUUUUAUUUUGAAGUCCAGUUCUGGUCCAAACAGAGUCCCGGUGUUUGAGCUCUUCUUCACCACAUUAAUGAAACCAUCAGCUGUUCUGGUUCAGAGGAAACGGACCCUCUCCUGAGCCGCUGCGGCGUGAAUAAAGUUCUGGAGCUUGUUUAUGUGCGCUCUCUGUUUAUCAUCGCUUUAUUUCCCUCAUUGACUCAGUGGAGGUUGUUUUGGAGGAUGCAGCGUCCCGGAACAGGAGGAGGGGAGCCGAGAGUGUGUGAGGGUGAUAUGAACACACACACACACACACACACACACAGUUCACUCAUCAGUCGAGCAUUUUCAUCAGCUGACAUUUUCUGACAUUUAGUGACUUCCUGUUUCUACUGCAGCUUAUAAUGAAACAAAUCAAUACUGUAAAUAUUGAGCAAACGGAGCGAAUGAGCAGAGACGGUUUUAACGACUUUAAAUUAACAUCAAAUAAUAUUUACAGGUUUGUUUGUAGGAUUGAGAGCGCCCAGACUAAAUUAAUGUGAUUUAAAGUUUAUAUACAUGUUUAUAUAAAUAUAUUUGUUUUAUUUAGUCUGUUUUCUGGUCUCUUAUUCACUUAAAUACUCAUGAAGGAUUCUAAACAGAGAUGUCAUUCUAAUCAUUUCUUUGCUAAAACUAAACUAAACCCAAGAACUAAACCCAGGAACUAAACCCAAGAACUAAACCCAGGAACUAAACCCAGGAACUAAACUAAAGAACUAAACUCAAGAACUAAACCCAAGAACUGAACUCAAGAACUGAACUCAAGAACUAAACUCAAGAACUAAACCCAGGAACUAAACUCAAGAACUAAACUAAAGAACUAAACCCGAGAACUAAACCCAGGAACUAAACUAAAUAACUAAACUAAAGAACUAAACUCAAGAACUAAACUAAAGAUCUAAACCCAAGAACUACACCCAGGAACUAAACUAAAGAACUAAACCCAAGAACUACACCCAGGAACUAAACUCAAGAACUAAACUAAAGAUCUAAACCCAAGAGCUGAACUCAAGAACUAAACCCAAGAACUGAACUCAAGAACUAAACCCAAGAACUAAACCGAGGAACUUAACUAAAGAACUAAACCCAAGAACUAUACUAGAGAACUAAACUCAAGAACUAAACCCAGGAACUAUACUAGAGAACUGAACUCAGGAACUAAACCCAAGAACUAAACUAAAGAACUAAACCCAAGAACUGAACUCAAGAACUAAACUCAAGAACUAAACCCAGGAACUAAACUCAAGAACUAAACCCAGAACUAAACCCAGGAACUAAACCCAAGAACUAUACUAGAGAACUAAACCCAAGAACUAAACUCAAGAACUGAACUCAGGAACUAAACCCAAGAACUAAACCCAGGAACUAAACUAAAGAACUAAACCCAGGAACUAAACUCAGGAACUAAACCCAAGAACUAAACCCAGGAACUAAACUAAAGAACUAAACCCAAGAACUAAACCCAAGAACUGAACUCAAGAACUGAACUCAAGAACUAAACUCAAGAACUAAACCCAGGAACUAAACUCAAGAACUAAACUAAAGA